CAUCGCAAAACUUGGUUGGCCACGCGUAUUCUUGGGUUACUAACACACUGUUUAUGUUGUUAUUGCUUGAGAAUACACGUAGUUGACUAGUGUUGUACAUCGA
Molecule: microRNA precursor, 103 nt
Filed under: Anopheles arabiensis
Lineage: Eukaryota; Metazoa; Arthropoda; Insecta; Diptera; Culicidae
Also listed under: 4 other names
Description: microRNA mir-137
Rfam family: mir-137 microRNA precursor family (bases 15-87)
Source: RNAcentral